AUGUGUACUGAAAGUGAAAGAAAACAUUUAGAAAUGCUUAGGCAAUCUGCCAUGAAGUCCAAGCAGGUGAUUUUAUAUUUACAAAACAGCAGUUUGCCAUUGUCUGGGGUCGGGGACACAAAAGACUGCUCGCCUGGUCUACAGCAUUUGCUUGUUCUGUUGCUUUUGCAUAUCUUUUUGUAUUUAGAAAGGUGCCGUUUCUUCCACCAUGAAAGAAAGAUCUUAGGACUUGAGCUGAUGCUGGGGCAUCCACCACGUCAGCACCAAACAUUGCCUGCUGCUGCUAAGUCACGUCAGUCAUGUCCGACUCCGUGCGACCCCACAGACGGCCUGGUGGGCUCCCCGGUCCCUGGGAUUCUCCAGGCAAGAACACUGGAGUGGGUUGCCAUUUCCUUUGCCUAG
This 402-nucleotide long non-coding RNA is filed under the name Bos indicus x Bos taurus (hybrid cattle). RNAcentral describes it as "lncRNA (ENSBIXG00000009215.1)". The record is from RNAcentral. Lineage: Eukaryota; Metazoa; Chordata; Mammalia; Artiodactyla; Bovidae.